CUCUACAGCCGUAUCACCCUGAAUGUGCCUGAUCUCAUGUAAUCUUAGAAGCUAAACAGGGUCAGGCUUGGUUAACACUUGGAUGAGAGA
This 90-nucleotide ribosomal RNA is filed under the name Cebus imitator (Panamanian white-faced capuchin). Lineage: Eukaryota; Metazoa; Chordata; Mammalia; Primates; Cebidae. The record is from RNAcentral.